UCGGAGAUGACCUUUUAACCA
RNAcentral lists this non-coding RNA (21 nucleotides) under Caenorhabditis elegans. Lineage: Eukaryota; Metazoa; Nematoda; Chromadorea; Rhabditida; Rhabditidae. The record is from RNAcentral.